UAAAGUCGAUUGCUCUACCCAC
Molecule: microRNA, 22 nt
Filed under: Caenorhabditis elegans
Lineage: Eukaryota; Metazoa; Nematoda; Chromadorea; Rhabditida; Rhabditidae
Description: cel-miR-2210-3p
Source: miRBase by way of RNAcentral